UUAAAUGAGAUCUCUCGCUCCAUCAAUGCGACUCUUGGAGAUGCCCCCUACAUAAUUUUGGUUUCUAUUCAUAAUGUUGAAUUUGAUUAUUCGAUCCAUUUUGAUAUUUAUUUGAGGCCAGAUUUUGAGCCAGAUUGGACUCCCUCUGGUUUGCUGUUUCAAUAGGAGAAUGUUGUAGGGCCUCCAGACAAUAAGAAGGAUCUUGCCCCUUAAAUCCUUCUUCAUUGAAUUAUACCACUAAUGAAGACAAGGAGGACAUGCCCUA
RNAcentral lists this long non-coding RNA (265 nucleotides) under Elaeis guineensis (African oil palm). RNAcentral describes it as "long non-coding RNA (EGUI_LNC051894)". The record is from RNAcentral. Lineage: Eukaryota; Viridiplantae; Streptophyta; Magnoliopsida; Arecales; Arecaceae.